UGCCUACGGGAGGCAGCAGUGGGGAAUAUUGCACAAUGGGCGCAAGCCUGAUGCAGCGACGCCGCGUGAGGGAUGACGGCCUUCGGGUUGUAAACCUCUUUCAGUAGGGAAGAAGCGAAAGUGACGGUACCUGCAGAAGAAGCGCCGGCUAACUACGUGCCAGCAGCCGCGGUAAUACGUAGGGCGCAAGCGUUAUCCGGAAUUAUUGGGCGUAAAGAGCUCGUAGGCGGUUUGUCGCGUCUGCCGUGAAAGUCCGGGGCUCAACUCCGGAUUUGCGGUGGGUACGGGCAGACUAGAGUGAUGUAGGGGAGACUGGAAUUCCUGGUGUAGCGGUGAAAUGCGCAGAUAUCAGGAGGAACACCGAUGGCGAAGGCAGUUCUCUGGGCAUUAACUGACGCUGAGGAGCGAAAGCAUGGGGAGCGAACAGGAUUAGAUACCCUGGUAGUCCAUGCCGUAAACGUUGGGCACUAGGUGUGGGGGACAUUCCACGUUUUCCGCGCCGUAGCUAACGCAU
Molecule: ribosomal RNA, 514 nt
Filed under: Arthrobacter pascens
Lineage: Bacteria; Bacillati; Actinomycetota; Actinomycetes; Micrococcales; Micrococcaceae
Description: bacterial SSU rRNA
Rfam family: Bacterial small subunit ribosomal RNA
Source: RNAcentral